GCCAAGGUGGCUUAGUGGUUAACGCACCUUCCUAGUGAGGAGGAGACCUGGGUUCGAUUCCCAUCCUUGGCA
This is a non-coding RNA of Schistocerca piceifrons (Central American locust), 72 nucleotides long. Lineage: Eukaryota; Metazoa; Arthropoda; Insecta; Orthoptera; Acrididae. The record is from the annotation of a RefSeq genome assembly.